RNAcentral lists this non-coding RNA (74 nucleotides) under Cardinium endosymbiont cBtQ1 of Bemisia tabaci. Lineage: Bacteria; Pseudomonadati; Bacteroidota; Cytophagia; Cytophagales; Amoebophilaceae. The record is from RNAcentral.
AAGAGCCGGAUAUGGGAAAUCUGUAAGUCCGGUUCUGUGAGGGAUUCAGGGAGUAAUCCCUGGAUCUACUCGAU